This is a long non-coding RNA of Scylla paramamosain (green mud crab), 2712 nucleotides long. RefSeq lists it as uncharacterized. The transcript is spliced from 2 exons. The record is from RefSeq and is a predicted model, not a curated record. NCBI's taxonomy places the organism in Eukaryota, Metazoa, Arthropoda, Malacostraca, Decapoda, Portunidae.
UCGCUACCUCAUUGCAAGAGGGUCGUAACUCCAAAUUUGCUAGUUUUGAGUUAUAUGGUGUACAAGAUUGCCGAAUUGAUUCUGCAUCUUUUGGUAAAAGAGUCGUAAAUCUAGGUGAAUUAGCGGCCGAGAGAUGGCACUAAGAAGAUUUUUAGUGAACAUCAAAAUAUCUCUGAGGGUUGUGGCAACAGUGUCGUAGUCAGUGUUACUAUGGCAGUCGUUGAGGUAACAUCUCUCGAAUUUUGUUCAUGACUGUUAAUUUACUCAUGAUUAAUUAAUGAUGUCCCGUGGAUUGAAAUGUGUGCAAAUGGCAUUGCAAAGAAGAACAAAAUUGGAACAGGCUAGUGAGAAAGACGGAUCGGUAUCAGGUGAGUGAUGCCUUCCUUUGUAAUGGUUAAGAGUGUGGGGCUUAUAGCAUGGUCUGGCUCCAAACAGUCUUGGAGUAGGGAAUAGCCUAGACUGGCCACUGCCAGUCUAGGAACAGGGCCCGGAUUGGCCCCUGCCAGGCCAGGAAAUACAGUCUAAAAUGGGAUGGAUGGGAGGACCAGGUGAAAAUCAACAAUGUGGAAAUGAGUACCAGUGAAUUAGUUAGCCCCCAAAAAACAAAGAAACGAAAACUGAAGCAGAGUGAGUGGAAACGGAAUAUGAAUAAAAAGAGGAGAAACAUGGGACUUGCUUAUGAAUCGGCUGCAAAGAAACAGAAAGAGGCGCGGAAAAUCAAACCACCUUGUAAAGAAACUUGCAGGAUGAAGUGCACCAGUAACAUAUCUCAUGAUCAAAGACAACACAUUUUUGAAUCAUACUGGAACCUAGGGGAUAUUGACCUUCAAAGAGAAUACAUAGCAAAAUGUACAAAGGAAGUAAAGCCAAUUUACAGAUGCAUAAGGGAAAAAAGACAGCGUGGACCAAGGGGAAACAACAUUUGGUAUUCCUUCCCAGUUGAUGGUACAUUAACAAGAGUCUGCAAAACAUUUUUCCUCAAUACUCUUGACAUAAAUGAUAGGGUUACUAGGACAGCAUUAACUAAACAGAAGAGAGCAGCAGGAUUGGUGUCUGAAGUAGAUAACAGAGGAAAACAUAAAAACCAUCCUACGCUUGAUCCACAAAUCAAAGAAGGAGUUAGAGCUCACAUAGAAGGAAUUCCUAGAAUCGAAAGUCACUACACCAGGGCACGGACAGCUAGGGAAUACAUUUGUGGGUCUCGAAGCCUGGCAGACAUUCAUAGGGAUUAUGUCCAAGAAUGUAAAGAUAAGAAGAAGCCCUAUGCAACUUACUCAAUGUUCUACAAUAUUUUUCAGAAUGAGUACAAUAUCGCUUUCUUUGCUCCUAAGAAAGAUCAGUGUGACUUGUGUGUGUUGUUCAAUAAUGCAGAUGGGGAAGCUAAGGAAAACUUAAAAGAAAAGUAUGACACACAUCAAUGUGAAAAGGUACUUUCAAGGGAAGAGAAGAAGCAAGAUAAAACUGAAGGAAAUGCUAUAGUUGCUGUGUAUGAUCUACAAGCCGUACUGCAACUUCCACAAGGUGAUGUAUCCACCUUCUAUUACAAAUCAAAAUUUAAUGUCCUAAAUUUCACAAUUUAUGAUAUCAAGACUAAUGAAUGUGACUGUUUUCUUUGGGAUGAAACAAAUGGUAAUAGAGGAGUGAAUGAAAUAGGCUCUUGCAUCCUAAGUUAUAUUAAAGAAUUAUGUGAUAAGAAUCAAGGAGAAGACAACAUUGAAAUAAUUUUCUAUUCUGAUAACUGUGCUGGGCAACAAAAAAACAAAUUUAUGCUUGCAUUGUAUUUGUAUGUUGUCACUAAUUUGCCUGUUAAGUCAAUCACCCAUAAAUAUCUGAUAAAAGGCCACACACAGAAUGAAGGCGACUCUGCGCAUUCUCUGAUUGAAAAACAAAUAAGGAGACUGAAGAAAGGGGGACCAAUAUUCGUUCCUGAAACCCUUGUCACUGCGAUUCGCUCUGCAAAGAAAACAGGCCAGCCGUUCCAAGUUCGCGUAAUGCAGUAUGAUGACUUUAAAAAUGUGAAGUCUCUUACUACACAAAUGGGAGCAAUCAAUGUCAAAGAUUUAAGAUUAAGUGAAAUCAAAGUCAUGAAGUUUGAAAAGCAAUGUCCAGCCUCAGUCUUAGUGAAAUAUUCAUACAGUGAUGAAUUCAAACGUGUUCUAUUGAUCAGAAAACCAAAGGUUGCCACAGAUCUCUUGCAGUGUUACUCAGAGAAAAUUCCCCUAAGCGAAAAUAAGAAAAAAGAUCUUAAAGAACUCUGUGAAAAAGGCUUAAUCCCACGUCCCUAUUCGGACUUUUUUAACAACAUUACCUAAUUUUGAUGCUUAAUUGGUCACAAAGAUGUAAUACUUAUCAUUCAUUUUUUUUUUAUAACUGAGUUACGGCCAAGGGUAACAAAAAUUUAAAGGAAAUACUUGCUUCAUGUAAUUUAAACCUAUCUAUUUGAAAGAUUUCAUUAAUUUGAAGGAAAUUGUUUGCUUUAUGUGGCUGAACCAAUUGAUUUGAAAGAAAAAAAACUUUUUUUUUUUUUUUUUACUUUUUUUUUUCUUGGUAUGCAUUUUGUUGGAAGAAUAACAACAGAAUAUAAUGGUAUAAUAUAUUUCUGAAUAGGUACACAGCAUUUAUGAUUUAUUUCAAUUUGUUUUGUUACUGAAUGGAUAAAUACUGUUCUUUUUGUAAGGAAUAUUUAGUUUUAUAAUAAACUGGAAUCAUACA